GACGAACGCUGGCGGCGUGCUUAACACAUGCAAGUCGAACGGAAAGGCCCUGCUUUUGUGGGGUGCUCGAGUGGCGAACGGGUGAGUAACACGUGAGUAACCUGCCCUUGACUUUGGGAUAACUUCAGGAAACUGGGGCUAAUACCGGAUAGGAGCUCCUGCUGCAUGGUGGGGGUUGGAAAGUUUCGGCGGUUGGGGAUGGACUCGCGGCUUAUCAGCUUGUUGGUGGGGUAGUGGCUUACCAAGGCUUUGACGGGUAGCCGGCCUGAGAGGGUGACCGGCCACAUUGGGACUGAGAUACGGCCCAGACUCCUACGGGAGGCAGCAGUGGGGAAUAUUGCACAAUGGGCGGAAGCCUGAUGCAGCAACGCCGCGUGCGGGAUGACGGCCUUCGGGUUGUAAACCGCUUUCGCCUGUGACGAAGCGUGAGUGACGGUAAUGGGUAAAGAAGCACCGGCUAACUACGUGCCAGCAGCCGCGGUGAUACGUAGGGUGCGAGCGUUGUCCGGAUUUAUUGGGCGUAAAGGGCUCGUAGGUGGUUGAUCGCGUCGGAAGUGUAAUCUUGGGGCUUAACCCCUGAGCGUGCUUUCGAUACGGGUUGACUUGAGGAAGGUAGGGGAGAAUGGAAUUCCUGGUGGAGCGGUGGAAUGCGCAGAUAUCAGGAGGAACACCAGUGGCGAAGGCGGUUCUCUGGGCCUUUCCUGACGCUGAGGAGCGAAAGCGUGGGGAGCGAACAGGCUUAGAUACCCUGGUAGUCCACGCUGUAAACGGUGGGUACUAGGUGUGGGGUCCAUUCCACGGGUUCCGUGCCGUAGCUAACGCUUUAAGUACCCCGCCUGGGGAGUACGGCCGCAAGGCUAAAACUCAAAGGAAUUGACGGGGCCCCGCACAAGCGGCGGAGCAUGCGGAUUAAUUCGAUGCAACGCGUAGAACCUUACCUGGGUUUGACAUGGAUCGGGAGUGCUCAGAGAUGGGUGUGCCUCUUUUGGGGUCGGUUCACAGGUGGUGCAUGGCUGUCGUCAGCUCGUGUCGUGAGAUGUUGGGUUAAGUCCCGCAACGAGCGCAACCCUUGUUCACUGUUGCCAGCACGUUAUGGUGGGGACUCAGUGGAGACCGCCGGGGUCAACUCGGAGGAAGGUGGGGAUGACGUCAAGUCAUCAUGCCCCUUAUGUCCAGGGCUUCACGCAUGCUACAAUGGCUGGUACAGAGAGUGGCGAGCCUGUAAGGGUGAGCGAAUCUCGGAAAGCCGGUCUCAGUUCGGAUUGGGGUCUGCAACUCGACCUCAUGAAGUCGGAGUCGCUAGUAAUCGCAGAUCAGCAACGCUGCGGUGAAUACGUUCCCGGGGCU
This 1347-nucleotide ribosomal RNA is filed under the name uncultured bacterium. RNAcentral describes it as "partial 16S ribosomal RNA". It matches the Rfam family "Bacterial small subunit ribosomal RNA", at positions 28 to 1381 of the family's 1533-position model. The record is from RNAcentral.